UACUGAAGGUGCAAGCGUUAAUCGGAAUCACUGGGCGUAAAGCGCUCGUAGGUGGCUUUGUAAGUCAGAUGUGAAAGCCCACGGCUCAACCGUGGAAUUGCAUUUGAUACUGCAUCGCUAGAGUAUAGGAGAGGGAAGUGGAAUUUCUGGUGUAGGAGUGAAAUCCGUAGAGAUCAGAAGGAACACCGGUGGCGAAGGCG
This 200-nucleotide ribosomal RNA is filed under the name uncultured bacterium. RNAcentral's name for it is "partial 16S ribosomal RNA". It matches the Rfam family "Bacterial small subunit ribosomal RNA", at positions 524 to 723 of the family's 1533-position model. The record is from RNAcentral.